RNAcentral lists this long non-coding RNA (612 nucleotides) under Salvator merianae (Argentine black and white tegu). RNAcentral's name for it is "lncRNA (ENSSMRG00000004178.1)". Lineage: Eukaryota; Metazoa; Chordata; Lepidosauria; Squamata; Teiidae. The record is from RNAcentral.
UAUUAUUUGAUUUUGAUUUAUUUUUGGAUGUUUUGUAACUUUCAGAAUUCAAAACGUGUUGAAGAGCUAAUGGAGGCCUUGGAUGAAUACCGAAUGGUGGUACAGGAACUGAAACUGGAAGUCAGCAGGCUGCAAGACCAUCUGUGUCAACCUUACCAAGAUCCAGACAUGCUGCCGAGAAAUUCCCUUGAUAAUAUGAAGACUUGCUUACAAGCCACUGCACAGCCACUCUGUAUGGAGCUUGAAGAAUUAUGGAAACAGAAUUUUGGGGAGGAGGCUGGUUUGCCUAGUCCAUUAUGUGGGAUGAUACCAUCUUUGGUAACAGAUCAGAUAGCGGCAGAGGGCAUUGGAAUUUUGACAGAAGAACAGGAAUUCUGCCAAUCAGAAACAGACAGUAACAAAGCCUUAUUGCAAAGAUCACCUAAUGUAUCUCACUCAAGUGUUAUGACAGAUGCUCUACUAAUAGUAGAGAAAAAUCAGGAAGGCAAACAGCAACAGAAUCUUGCUGCAGAGAUGAUAGGAAGCAUGGAAAAAACAAAACAAGACAUCCUAGCAGGCAAACAGUUUGGCAACAAGAUAAUUGAAUUGACUUCAAGAAACAAUAAAAUCUGG